CAUCCACUUCCGGCGCACCGUGCCUUGAGCAGCUCUCUCCGCUGGCUGUGCUGUCUGUCUGCGAAUGGUCCCAGCUCCCUCCAAACGGGACCCUGGGCAGCCCUCGGCACCUUCAUGAGAUGCUGGCUCCCUGUCCGCACCUUUCCUCCGUCUUCCCAGAGGCCCCAGUGCUGCAGCCCAGCCUCCCGAGACGCCUGGUGGGAGAGUCCCGGGUCAGCCACUCACGCCGCAAGUCUCAGUGUGUAGUUCACGCUGGCCUUGAUCUCACUAUGUAGCCCAGGCUGGCCUGGAACCCACAGCAGUCCUCCUGCCUCAGCCUCCCAAGUGCUGGAAUUACAGGGGUGUGCUAUUGUGCCCCACA
Molecule: long non-coding RNA, 361 nt
Organism: Heterocephalus glaber (naked mole-rat)
Lineage: Eukaryota; Metazoa; Chordata; Mammalia; Rodentia; Bathyergidae
Source: Ensembl